GAGCGGUAACAGGUGUAGCAAUACAUGCUGACGAGCGGCGAACGGGUGAGUAAUGCUUCGGAAUCUACCUUAUGGUGGGGAAUAACUAGCCGAAAGGUUAGCUAAUACCGCAUACGUCCUACGGGAGAAAGCAGGGGAUCGCAAGACCUUGCGCCAAAAGAUGAGCCGAAGUCGGAUUAGCUAGUUGGUAGGGUAACGGCCUACCAAGGCGACGAUCCGUAGCUGGUCUGAGAGGACGACCAGCCACACUGGGACUGAGACACGGCCCAGACUCCUACGGGAGGCAGCAGUGGGGAAUAUUGGACAAUGGGGGAAACCCUGAUCCAGCGACGCCGCGUGUGUGAAGAAGGCCUGCGGGUUGUAAAGCACUUUUAGUGGGGAUGAAAUGUGCAGGGCUAACACCUCUGCAUUUUGACCUAACCCACAGAAAAAGCACCGGCUAACUCUGUG
RNAcentral lists this ribosomal RNA (450 nucleotides) under uncultured bacterium. RNAcentral's name for it is "bacterial SSU rRNA". It matches the Rfam family "Bacterial small subunit ribosomal RNA", at positions 64 to 507 of the family's 1533-position model. The record is from RNAcentral.